AUGGCCUUGAAUCAAGGCCAGCAGUUUUCUAAAGCUGUUGCUUUCAAGCUGGAGCCUAAAGUGCUGUCUUUCUAUGAUCUGUGGGCCACUUCAGAGCUUCAGCAAUGUAAUGUUCAAUUCAUUAGAAAAAAAACAAC
Molecule: small nucleolar RNA, 137 nt
Organism: Cavia porcellus (domestic guinea pig)
Lineage: Eukaryota; Metazoa; Chordata; Mammalia; Rodentia; Caviidae
Source: Ensembl